AUAUAUUAAAUAAAGAUAGAAAAAUAGAAGAAUAAAAACACAAAAAUAAAAACACAAAAAUAAAAACGAAAAGAUAAAAGCAGAAAGAUACUCCCCUUGCUUGAUAUUCUUUUCUUUUUCUUCUUGCUGAAUUUUUUCAAAAAGUUGAGAACACCAAGCACCUGUUUCCAUGUCUCAAUCAUAGGAACUUUAAUCUCCAAUUUCUUGAAGAUUUCAAUAAAGCACUUAAACUUCUUUUCUUUCCUAUGAUAUUUCUUUUGAUGAGGAAAGGGUUUGGCAUAUGAUCUUUUCUUCUUUCCUCUCUUCCUCUUUUUCUCACUCUCCUCCCUCAACUUUCUCUUUUUCUCUUUUAUUAUUUUCUUCUUUAUUUUCACAUAUUUUUUCUUUUUUUCUUUUUUCUCAACCACUUCGUUUUCUCUCUCUUCAUUUUUCUCUCCCUCACUCAACUUUUCUGUUUCUUCCUCCUCUAUCUUCUCCUCAUCAACAACCUUAUCAAUUUGUGUCUCUAAAUUUCUAAAGGUAACUUCAUAGCUCUUGGAAUCGUA
RNAcentral lists this long non-coding RNA (545 nucleotides) under Vigna radiata. RNAcentral's name for it is "long non-coding RNA (VRAD_LNC000654)". The record is from RNAcentral. Lineage: Eukaryota; Viridiplantae; Streptophyta; Magnoliopsida; Fabales; Fabaceae.